Small nuclear RNA from Gorilla gorilla gorilla (western lowland gorilla), 104 nucleotides. The record is from Ensembl. NCBI's taxonomy places the organism in Eukaryota, Metazoa, Chordata, Mammalia, Primates, Hominidae.
GUGAUCUCUUCAGCAGCACAUAUACUAAAAUUGGAAUGAUACAGAGAUUAGCAUGGUUCCCGUACAAGGAUGAUACACAAAUUUGUGAAGUGUUCUAUAUUUUU